RNAcentral lists this transfer RNA (69 nucleotides) under Eurystomus orientalis. Its description in RNAcentral is "tRNA-Arg". The record is from RNAcentral. Lineage: Eukaryota; Metazoa; Chordata; Aves; Coraciiformes; Coraciidae. RNAcentral also lists the same sequence under 1 other name.
AGAAAGUUAGUCUAACCAAGACAGUUGAUUUCGACCCAACAAAUCAUAGCUCGUCCCUAUGACUUUCUU